Molecule: ribosomal RNA, 254 nt
Filed under: uncultured prokaryote
Description: partial 16S ribosomal RNA
Rfam family: Bacterial small subunit ribosomal RNA
Source: RNAcentral
GACGAACCGUGCAAACGUUGUUCGGAAUCACUGGGCUUAAAGGGCGCGUAGGCGGUUCGUUAAGUCGUGGGUGAAAUCUUUCGGCUCAACCGGAAAAUUGCCUGCGAUACUGGCGAGCUCGAGGGUGGUAGGGGCGAUCGGAACUGCCAGUGGAGCGGUGAAAUGCGUUGAUAUUGGCAGGAACGCCGGUGGCGAAAGCGGAUCGCUGGAUCACUCCUGACGCUGAGGCGCGAAAGCUAGGGGAGCAAACGGGA